UCCAACCCGUUAGACUCGCGAGCGACUCAUCCCAGACACGAACACGAUGACGCGAGGGCUGCCGCCGCCGCCGCCGCCGCCGUUGCAACCUCGAUGGGCGGCUCUUCCCAUGCCGCAGACAUCGCCACGGGCGAAUCCGCCAUCGGCCCCCGCCACGGCCCCCCUACACCCCGGCGCUGUUGGGACCUUCGCCGGCAAUGAGCAGCCAGCAGAUUGUAGUACCCAUGAUGACAUAGCUGGAUGUAUUAUGGGAGAUGAAGAUGAUGAUGAGAUCUAACUCAGAUCUAAAAGACCAGUUGGUACCUUGCAGUAUUUGGACCUUUAUUUUCAAUAAGUACCGUCUGGCACAUCAUUUAUAUGUUGUAGAAUGGAAGCAGUCUUUGUCCCUUUGUCAUGCUAUCAUGAUGAAAAGUGAAUAUUUCUUGGUAGUUUGGAAGAAUGCUUCUUCCUCAAUCUUAUUACUCAACAUGCGGCAGGAAACAUCAAGCUUUUGCAAGGCUACAAUAGUGAAAAGUGACACGAGUUGAAGUAAUCAUUGAUAGGCAAUAUGUUUGAGUUUAAUACCAUUGAUGAAUCUAUUACAAACUUGUGAUGAUAUGGAUGGCAGUCACCUUUUUUAUUUUUUUAGUUUGUUGUAUGAACUUGUGAUGACACUGCAAGGUUGCAAAUGCCUCUUAUUUAUAUUUCCCUUGUCUUAUUGUACCACUUUCUAAAACAUUUGGAACUAUACUGCAGUCAGCAGCAGCAUGUAAUUAAGUAGUAAGUAGCAGUUUGCUUAUUGCCUUAGAAUUAUUCAGAGAUUUCCCUUUUAGAUCAAGACUUAAGAGCACUGAAUUAUAUUGCAACUAGCAA
Sorghum bicolor (sorghum) is the source of this 852-nucleotide long non-coding RNA. RefSeq lists it as uncharacterized. The transcript has 3 exons. The record is from RefSeq and is a predicted model, not a curated record. Lineage: Eukaryota; Viridiplantae; Streptophyta; Magnoliopsida; Poales; Poaceae.